This is a long non-coding RNA of Rhipicephalus microplus (southern cattle tick), 6084 nucleotides long. The record is from RefSeq and is a predicted model, not a curated record. NCBI's taxonomy places the organism in Eukaryota, Metazoa, Arthropoda, Arachnida, Ixodida, Ixodidae.
UAGGCACGCAGGAGGCGUGAGAAAACGACGGCGCGUGUUUACGUCUAGCUGUGCAUGUCGUAAGCGAUCGUCAGUGAAUAUAAUAGGUAGACCACAGAACACCUGCCAGUGGGCAGACCAUACAGAGUGCGGUGACUGGCUAUCACGUCUGCACGUAAAGCCCAUCCGUUUUGUUAUAUCGUAAUCUCGCGCGCAGUCGCAGUGAACAGUCAAGCAUUAUAUUCUUUUCGUUGAAGAAACUGAAGGACGCUAAAUAAAGGCCUGCAUGUGCAGCUGUUGUCACUUUGAAGCCAGCAUGAAUCCUUUCUUGAAGUUGUUGGUUGAAUAUGUAUGCUUAAGCGUUCUCCUCAACCUGGCACAAGCUUUCGAUGAGGAAUUUGAGAAGCAUUGGCAAAGCAUUCACGAUUGGACGCCCUUGGCUCCCGGAACAAUCAUCGCCAUAUUUAUCGCCUUGCUGGUUGCAGCAAUUUGUGUAAACCUGCUCUGUUUUUGCUUGCGACGACUGCGCAAUAUUUAUAAUGCCAGCCCUUGCGUUCCACCUCCACUGAUGCCAGCCGCACCUGUGGUGACAUCGGCGGCAAGGACACUCGCCCCACUUGAAUCGUAUCCUCUGGUAUCGGGAGCAACUCUGUCUCCGGCCGCACCAAGUCCACAGCCGAAUCGCCACCCGCAGCCAACUGCACCAUACUUACAGGGGGGCCCCCACACGGGCAACGGUGUUGCACCACUGAUACAGCUGUCGGAUGCCGUGUUGCCGUCACCAUCCGCACCAUGCGAACCACCGCCGUACGAGCGACCGCCACCAUAUGCGAACCAAUCUGAAGGAUCUUAUUUCACGAAAUCAUAGUUGAGUACAGCCUCGGUUGGUGACUGCACGUCUUUGAUCGGUGUGGCAGGUGGGCGGCUGUGGGGUCUUGGUGUCGAGCAUGAGGUCGCGGGUUCGAGUCCAUUGAAGUCGGUGUGUGUGAACACCUCUGCCAUUAUAGGGGCCCUGCAGUACUUCUUCAAUGGGCUUACAGAAUGCCAUAAUGCUGCUGAUUGUUAGUCAGGGCUACUGCACACAUGUGAGCCAGGCAUUAUAGUGCAGCAUGUGGAAUGCAAGUUAAUAUUGAAUUUCAAUAUCAGCUAGAUGUCACUCACUUUCCUCUUGACAAAUGCUUCCAUAUACCCAGAAUUAACUGCUGUGUAGAGUGUUUCAUGGUGCCUGCACCGCACUAUACAAAAUGUGCUCGUCAUCUCCCUGAAAGAAAACAAGAAAGUGCUCAAGAUUAUGACUUUCAGGGCUGCGCAGACGUAUCACCUUGCCUCCGUACCAUCUCGCUUCUUGUGUAAGGAGUGCAAUAGCACGAAGAAAAGGAUUCAGACAAAUGAAAAUGAGCACUUGGUACUCUCCUCGUUUGUAUUUGUGUCCUUGUCUUUAGUUUGUGCUACGGCACUCGUCAUGACAUACCAACUAGGCCAAGCCGCUACCCUUUUUGUGUAGCUUUCAGAGCACUCGCUGGCACAUAAGGAGAGAGAAAGUGCACAAAGCGUGCCACAAACUUCUGUAAUUCCCCUUGUGCUUGACAAAUUCUGAAAAUAUUUGUGGCAGUUGAAUUGCAAAGCAAGAAACUUUAAUACUUGUAAAUGUGUUGUAGGGUCCCGUUAAGUUAAGUUCGCACGGUUGAGACCAGUCUAGAGUUGGAUCAAUUCAUUGCGGGAUCGUGGUGAAAGUCUGGUCCAUUCAGACAACUAGUACUGCCCAAAUCUGUGUUUUUCACAUCUUGUGCAUUGAAAGUAGUUUUCUUAGAACUAUUUGGAUAGCCAUCUUUGGGAAUGGUGAUAUUAGUUCAUAAGAGCACUUAACGUUACGGUGCACAAAGGCUGUGAAAAAAUAUAUAUAUAUUCACCUAUUUAUUUUUUGUCAUCCUCAUUUUAGCACUCUUUGUAGCUGGCUUAGCAACUACUUUACUGCUUAAAAAGUGCUCUUGUGUUGUGUGAGAAUAAGAUUAUCAGCAUAGAAAAAUUCUACUGUGAGCCAGUAGCAAAUAAGGCACAAGUGUGCCUAAAAUAGUCUUGCAAUAGAUAUUGUUUAUGGCUAAUAAUACAAUAAAACUAUAUAUAAUACAAGUGUUAGAAACAUACCUUUAUAAUAAAAUUUGGGAUAUAUCAUACUUAUUUUAGUAUAAGGUGCAACUUUGUGGUUACAAGGUGUGAGUGUAUGCCACAUUAUCGUUGUCCUUAUCCACUUGGAAGAAUUGUUCUCACUUUGGCUGUGACUGAGUCACGAGCACCAUUUUGCCUAUCCUCUUCUUUUUUGUUCUGGAGCCACUGCCCAGAAUCUUGUGUCAACAGUUGCAAAUGGUUGCUGGAUGUAACGUUUAGUGGCCUUGGGUUCAGUUGAAAAUGAACAAGUGAUCAGCAAUGCUAAACAAAUGUAUCUUCCCUUCCCCUUUUUGACAUGCUGUGCUGAUUCAUUGCUCUUAUAUUUACUGCCUAGUUGAUGCUGAUAUUUUUAAUACUGAGUUUCACUUUAUUAAACAAAAGCGUUAAAGCUAUGUAUAACUGACGAAGGCAUACAAUGCAAUGCAAUUAUACACGGAUUGACAGUGAGACAAGGGGUUGUGUAUGAUACACCGUAAAAUACCCUGCAAGUGCACCUACCAGAGCAGGUGACCCCCUCCUUUCCUUGGGAGCUUUCAAAUAUAUGGCCUCUUCUUCCCUUCCACCAUUUUCUCUGUUUCAUUCAUGUUUUGAUUUGCCCAAUGAGAGCAAAUGAAAACAGUGAAUGCAUUCGUAUUCAAUAAAGCAUUUUAAUUUCCAGCAAAGCCACGUUCAUUGUGAACAGUAUAGUAGUGAACAGCUUUGGGAAUGGCAAUCUUCAAGCGUAUCGUGGCAAAGUUGUUGCACCUUGCUCACUACAACCAACGAAGCAUUCUUAACGACUCUUCCGCCACCAUCGCGUAUUCAUCCCCCGUACGGUGAAUUCUUUCACCAUAGGCAAGGCACUUGCUCUGGAUUUUACGGUAGUGAUACGUGAGGUAGAAGAGAUUCUACUGUAUCGAUAACUCAAUGAACCGAACUCUGAUAACCCUAAUCAGCCCUGACUGAUAUAUGCUGAAUUAUUAGAUUUCCGUUCUUAAGUUUGGGGACAAAUAACAUCAACACAAUUAAACCCACCUUUCAAAGAUUCUCAUGAACAUGUGCAAAGAUGAUUCCGAAUCUCUAACCUUGUGCUCUUAGUAUGCAACACCAAUUGUUCCUUCGCUGUUGUGGUUGGCAAAAUAUAGAGAUGCACUAGUGACAGCCUCAUUUAAGCUCGUCUGUGCUCUCCGAUUUGCCUCUUAUAGACAUGACAGGGUUACAGUAAAAACUGCAGGCAUUCUACUAGCAGGGGUGCCACAAUCUCAAUCAAUUGCAGUAUUCGGCAUCGCUAUUCAUAUGCAUUCUUUAGCUGAGCCUGCAGAGUAGAUUCUCAUCACAGUUUCAUGUCACCACAUAAUGAGAGAAGACAACCUUGCUGGAGAACUGCUGAGAAAUUAACCUAGGGGUGAAACAUGAACGAUGAGUGUUCAUUUGAACACAUUUUUUUGGUGUGUGAUCUGCACUUUGUGUUUUGUCCUCUCGUCUUAUUACGCAGCAAUUUUGCACAGCGCGCACUGCAUUGACCAAAGGAAACAGAGAAGCUUCUUGGUUUAUUCUAAUGAGCUGUGCAGGCGGUUCAACAAAUUAUGGCCCCAACAAGUUAUGGCUCAUGAAGGUAGAGUAGAGUAGAAGACAUGCAAUGGUAUGUGUUGUGCAUUGAAAAGGCUCUGGUUGGGCAGUCUCGUGGGGUUGACGAGGGACAAGUAGCCGAGUCUCGAUGUGGGCUUAUACAUGGCCUUCAUUUUUAUCAGUCUACCCAGUCUGCAGGUUCCUAACACCUCUGCGCAGUGCCUUCGUGCUGCUGGGAAGCUGCAUCAGGUCUGCCCUAGAAAUAAUUUUUAUCUGUCGGCUUUUCAUUUUUGCCUUCCAUACUUCUUGCAAAGAACGGUAUAUUGAUAGGCACCGAUAGCAUUAAAUGUGGGGUGAAGAUGAGUUUUGUUCUGUGAAUAUAGUUGAAGGUUUAAUCAUGGGCAACGAAUAUGACAGAGGUGGCACAUCACAACAUUGAAAAUUGUGAAAAUAAUCAAGAGCUGUGGCAUCAUAAUUUUUAUGGAGAAGAUAAAGUGCUUACGGCAAUUCAUUGCCUACUAUUGGGCUCUUUUUAUUGCACAAUAGAUUCUGAUUUUGAAGUGACCAAAGCGGUGUAGACUGAUGUUUUAUUUUUCGUCAUUUGAAGGCACUCUGUCUUGUGUAUGCUAUGCCAUAGUACCCCUAUAAGUAAUUCUGUACAGUAUAUCCAGAGUACUGACGACAACGCAUGUAUUAUACAAAUGUGUAAUAUACAGUGCAUCUGGCAGAGUUCUUUCCAUUUGUUUCUAAUUGUCCCCCACAAAGCUUCAGUAACAUUGAGUUUAUUUCAUUGACUACAUUCCAAUUCCAUGCUCCGUAAUUUUAUUUUACUAUUGAUCACUUGCUCGAGAACGAGUUGGAAAGCAACAAAUGUUUCGGUGUUUUUAUUUAGAUUGUUCAAAGCAUUGGAUAAUACAAACAAAAGGUGCCCAGUGUAAGAGGACGCAUUUAAUCAUUCAUUAAGUGGCAUGAGAGGGCAAGCAGCGAAAGAGAGUAGUGAUCAAGGAAGCAUAGCGCAGCGUUAACACACAUCUUCCCGGCAUGGCUAUUUAGAUUAGCAUGCCAUCCUCUAUUAACCGAUGAUAUUGCCUGUGCCAGCUACGUUAUCACAGUGUUAUUUUCACUAUGAGCAGCUCGGUGAGAGAAAGUGCUUUAUUUCCUUCUGCUGCUAAACGCCCUGCCAGGGCUCAUAAUUGCCAGUGCCAAAAUCUACGCAUGCUCUCCAAUUGAGCAGCUACCAAGUGCCUCCGCCAAGAGGACCGCGCUGGUCAUGCUGCCAAAUCGGAAGUUCAUUGCUGCUACGUAGGCAUAUGUGGUUGUCUGUCUCGAAUAGUACGUCUUAGAUAUCACAAAAUCAAAACACUUAAAUGGCCACACUCAAAUUUCGCAUGAAUAAAUAUCGGAAUUAUUGGUGUCAUUGUUUAAGCUUGCACUUGUAGACAACAGCUUAUUUUAAUGCUGCAUAAAAAUUUUAUUAAAAGGUGUUGGACUAAUUUGUUCAUGGUGUGCAAAACGUAAUGGUGCAAUGCAGAAAAAAAAAAGACAAGAGGCUCAGGAAAGUGCGUUCUGUAGUUUUUAUUUUAUUUGUUUUACAUUUCAUAAUUAUCUUUUGCACUGUGUAAAAAGAGUUGGAAGAAAACGUGAGUUCAUUGUGAGUAGCAGUUUGGUUUCUGAAAAGCUAGUAACUUGCCAGCGCAUCAUUGGUGACGAGCCCGCCUUUCCAUUUUUCCUGGCAAAGCGAGCUCUUCGGAAUCUAAGUCACUGGAACACAGUGCCUUGUCGGUGAAUAUUCAUGAAUUUCAUAAAUUGGGUAGUAUCUAAGGGAGACUUAAGUCCACACUCACAAGUCCUAAGCUUUUAGAUAAGUUUUAUAAGAAUCUCAUGAGAUAUGAUGAGUACUUCCAGUAUAGUAAGUUAUUAUUGCUCUAGCUUCCUUGUUGAAGUGCUUGUAUGCAUGAUAUAUGCGAGUUUUGAAUGAAUAUGCACAAUUUAACUCGCGUUGCCAACUAUAAAAUUGAACUGCCUCUUUGGCUCCUUUAGAAACUGCAAUAUUAUGCUCUCAUGCUCUUAGUUUCUGCAGGUAUAAGCUGCACUGCAUUUGCCUGUUUGUUGGGACAGGAUGUUUAACUGCUGCAUUUGAGUGAGCAACAUUUGCUGCCCUCUUUAUGCUCGAGCAUCACGAUAAGCUUGUGCACAUGAGUGUCCUUACUUGUGCGUUCUUUUGUACUGUGAUACACAAGGCUAUUUCGCCUGAUGAAAUGUGCCUGUCUGUAUUUAUUUGAUAUUUAUAUUAUGCCCUAUUUUACGUCUCACAUUGUAAAUGUUCAUGUUGUCCUGUGUACCAUAUCAUUCCGACUUUGCCUGAAUUAAUAAAGAUGUUGGUCACUGUUA